Molecule: ribosomal RNA, 298 nt
Filed under: Spiroplasma sp. ChiS
Lineage: Bacteria; Bacillati; Mycoplasmatota; Mollicutes; Entomoplasmatales; Spiroplasmataceae
Description: partial 23S ribosomal RNA
Rfam family: Bacterial large subunit ribosomal RNA
Source: RNAcentral
GAGACAGUUUGGUCCCUAUCUGUUGUGGGCGUAGGAAAUUUGAAGAGAUCUGUCCCUAGUACGAGAGGGCCGGGAUGGACACACCUCUGGUGCUCCAGUUGUCACGCCAGUGGCACAGCUGGGUAGCUAUGUGUGGAAAUGAUAAUCGCUGAAGGCAUCUAAGCGAGAAGCAUACUUUAAGAUGAGAUUUCCCAUCCUUUAUGGAGUAAGACCCCUUGAAGACGACAAGGUUGAUAGGUUGGGUGUGUAAGCACGGCGACGUGUUCAGCUAACCAAUACUAAUAGGUCGAGGACUUCA